CAAUACAGGUGGUGCACGGCGCACGGGUGCGUAACACGUGGGUAAUCUGCCCUUCGAUGGGGAAUAACUCCGGGAAACCGAAGCUAAUUCCGCAUAACAUUCCUUGAACUUCGGUUUGGGGAUUCAAAGCCGUAAGGCGUCGGAGGAGGAACCCGCGCACGAUUAGCUAGUUGGUAGGGUAACGGCCUACCAAGGCUUUGAUCGUUAGCUGGUCUGAGAGGAUGGCCAGCCACACUGGAACUGAGACACGGUCCAGACUCCUACGGGAGGCAGCAGUGGGGAAUCUUGCACAAUGGGCGAAAGCCUGAUGCAGCGACGCCGCGUGGGGGAUGAAGCUUUUCGGAGUGUAAACCCCUUUCGACCCGGACGAAUGUCCCGCAAGGGAACUGACGGUACGGGUAUAAGAAGCCCCGGCUAACUACGUGCCAGCAGCCGCGGUAAGACGUGGGGGGCCA
RNAcentral lists this ribosomal RNA (455 nucleotides) under uncultured bacterium. Its description in RNAcentral is "bacterial SSU rRNA". It matches the Rfam family "Bacterial small subunit ribosomal RNA", at positions 80 to 535 of the family's 1533-position model. The record is from RNAcentral.